GGUUUGGAAUGGUCCGAAAUAAAGUCCUUUGCUGCAGGAUCGGCAGGGGCGCUCAGGUCUGACUGAGAUCUGUUCUUCGGAACGGAAGCGCCGUCAACAUAUCCCUUUCUACGAUGAGAUCCGGUUAUCGGGUAAUUUAUGAUUACCUGCUGACCGGACCGGGUUCGGGCUAGUAGCUCAGUUGGUUAGAGCACACGCUUGAUAAGCGUGGGGUCGGAGGUUCAAGUCCUCCCUGGCCCACCACCAUGUCUUUAAGGCGUGGUCGACCGGAAAGGGGGCGUAGCUCAGCUGGGAGAGCACCUGCUUUGCAAGCAGGGGGUCGUCGGUUCGAUCCCGUCCGCCUCCACCAGGAUCGUGGUGCCGCUGAAAGCGGGCGCCUGCUUGGUUUAUCUCAUCGUGAAGGGUUUAAGAGAUCGGAUAACCCUUUGUCCUGACUGCAAUGCGGUGGGGCAAAGAUGUUGUCUGGUGAUGUGUUCUUUGUCAGUGUGAAUCGGUUGGUGCGCAUGUGUGCGUGUCAUUUUUUCUGGGUUGGUCUGACCCUUAAAGCUGCUGUUAUGGUGGUUUUAUGUUAGAAAAAGUGGCGUUAGCGUUCAUAUGCGAUUGAAAUAUGACGCGCUCGGAUGAGCUGUCAUGUCUCAGAGCUGAAGUGUUCGGAACGCAGGUUCUGGCAUGGAUGGUUUCUGUGCAUGGGAGUGAGUGAGUGCGAGAAGGGCAUUCG
Molecule: transfer RNA, 718 nt
Filed under: Acetobacter oeni
Lineage: Bacteria; Pseudomonadati; Pseudomonadota; Alphaproteobacteria; Acetobacterales; Acetobacteraceae
Description: partial miscellaneous RNA
Rfam family: tRNA (bases 167-240)
Source: RNAcentral